UACAGAGGGUGCGAGCGUUGUUCGGAAUUAUUGGGCGUAAAGCGCGUGUAGGCGGCUUGGCAAGUCGGAUGUGAAAGCCCUCGGCUCAACCCCGGAACUGCCUCCGAAACUUCCAGUCUGGAGUCCGGGAGAGGCGAGUGGAAUUCCGAGUGUAGAGGUGAAAUUCGUAGAUAUUCGGAGGAACACCAGUGGCGAAGGCGGCUCGCUGGUCCGGUACUGACGCUGAGGUGCGAAAGCGUGGGGAGCAAACAGG
RNAcentral lists this ribosomal RNA (253 nucleotides) under uncultured bacterium. Its description in RNAcentral is "partial 16S ribosomal RNA". It matches the Rfam family "Bacterial small subunit ribosomal RNA", at positions 524 to 776 of the family's 1533-position model. The record is from RNAcentral.